AUACGGAGGGUGCGAGCGUUAAUCGGAAUUACUGGGCGUAAAGGGUGCGUAGGCGGCUUGAUAAGUCGGAUGUGAAAGCCCCGGGCUUAACCUGGGAAUUGCAUUCGAUACUGUCAGGCUAGAGUAUGUCAGAGGUUGGCGGAAUUCCUGGUGUAGCGGUGAAAUGCGUAGAUAUCAGGAGGAACACCAGUGGCGAAGGCGGCUAACUGGGGCAAUACUGACGCUGAGGCACGAAAGCGUGGGGAGCAAACAGGAUUAGAAACCCCUGUAGUCC
Molecule: ribosomal RNA, 274 nt
Filed under: uncultured bacterium
Lineage: Bacteria
Description: partial 16S ribosomal RNA
Rfam family: Bacterial small subunit ribosomal RNA
Source: RNAcentral